AAAUGAAUAGACGGGGACCCGCACAAGCGGUGGAGCAUGUGGUUUAAUUCGAAGCAACGCGAAGAACCUUACCUAAUCUUGACAUCCCAUUGACCGCAGAGUAAUGUCUGCUUUCCUUCGGGACAAUGGAGACAGGUGGUGCAUGGUUGUCGUCAGCUCGUGUCGUGAGAUGUUGGGUUAAGUCCCGCAACGAGCGCAACCCUUACCUUUAGUAGCCAGCAGUUCGGCUGGGCACUCUAGAGGGACUGCCAGGGAUAACCUGGAGGAAGGUGGGGAUGACGUCAAAUCAUCAUGCCCCUUAUGAUUAGGGCUACACACGUGCUACAAUGGCGUAAACAAAGAGAAGCAGAGUCGUGAGGCCGAGCAAAUCUCAAAAAUAACGUCUCAGUUCGGAUUGUAGUCUGCAACUCGACUACAUGAAGCUGGAAUCGCUAGUAAUCGCGAAUCAGAAUGUCGCGGUGAAUACGUUCCCGGGUCUUGCACACACCGCCCGU
This 494-nucleotide ribosomal RNA is filed under the name uncultured bacterium. Its description in RNAcentral is "bacterial SSU rRNA". It matches the Rfam family "Bacterial small subunit ribosomal RNA", at positions 903 to 1397 of the family's 1533-position model. The record is from RNAcentral.